This 2095-nucleotide long non-coding RNA is filed under the name Sinocyclocheilus grahami. Its description in RNAcentral is "lncRNA (ENSSGRG00000046197.1)". Lineage: Eukaryota; Metazoa; Chordata; Actinopteri; Cypriniformes; Cyprinidae. The record is from RNAcentral.
GCGUUUUUUUAGGGAAUAGCCCUGCCUGUGCUGCCCCAUAAAGCACUAGAGGGGGAGUGUGCCUCCCCUGGCAUCCUGCUAUAAAAUCCUGGGAGUAAUUAUAGCGUACUGAGGCAAAUCAGGAGUAAUCAGAUCAGUCCCGAGGCUGGGAACAUACAUGGACACACAGCAUCAGCACUGGAUUAAACCUCCCCACCACGACCCCCCUUAUUGAUUGAGGUACGACGAGUUCCUGCAAGUAGGUAAACGAGAGGGAGAGAGGGAGAGAGGAAAAGCUGUGAGGGAGUGGGAGGAAGAAUGAACCAGAAAGGCAGCGCAGGAGGCAGCGCAGUGCGAGCGAGCGAGAGAGAGGGGAUGGUGAGGGAGUCAAAGGCAGGAAGCAAGCAACAGCCAGUGGAACAGAAAUGCAGGGAGUUUGAGAGAGAGGGUGGAAAACAGAGGCCCGCCGCCACCGAGAGGACGAUAGGAGCGAAGUGAGGUAAAAGAGAAAGAAGGGCAAGGGUCCAGAGGAAGAAAACACACUGGGAUAACAUCUGUGGGAGAAAACAACGCACCAGAAGGUGGCGGUCAGAGUAAAGAAACAUGCAAGAGAAAGUUUAAAGACAGGACAGAUGAGAAAAGCAUCUCCUGGUAAUGACAAAGCCGGGACACUUAAAGAAGGGACACGUCCUCUCGAGAGUCCCCUUCUUGGGCCACAGAAUGUUCUCCGAGACAAAAGGGGUCAGGGAGCUACGCAUGCGACCCACCACUUCAAACCAACUACAAAAUGGAAUUCAAAGACCCCAAGCGGACAUCCUUGCCUAUUUUGGGACUGGGGACCAUGUAACGAACACCUGUGGACCAAAACAACACAAUUCCCUCCUCAAUGGAUAUACUGCCAAGAAACAUUUAGCUAAUCGGGGGGGUCAUGAACGGCUAGACGUGACUGGCCAGAUUUGUCAGACAGAGUUAUCCAGCGUGCGGUGGAAUCGGCCUCCAGGGAAGGGCCUGCAACAUAACAGCGUCUCUGUGAACUACAGCUUGAGAGAAUGCAGCUUUGUGGUCCACCGGCACCAGAUCGAGCCACACCCCUUCUUGAGGAAGUGUGCUCUGGAUGCGCCAACACAGUUCAGAGGUCAUGGAAACUGUGGAGUGCCUGUUUGUGCAGCGGAGCAACAAUCAGGCUCUGUGCGAGGGGCCCUGCUUACAGAACAACAUGCAUUGGACUGGAUGGAUGCAAGUGCUGCUCACAAUUCGACCUUUAAUAAGAAUGCAGAACUUUGCACUUCUAACGGACAGGGAACUUUAAGUAGAUGCAUGGGACGUGUCAUGCAAGAAUUUAACAGACCUAGUCUGGUGUAUGAAGUUAUGCUGUCUACCAAAGAUGUCAACAAAACCAAUUCUAAGCACCUUAAGUGUCAAGCAAAGGUCGCCCAAGGGGAUCUCAGUGGACCAGGAAGAGGGUCUUACGCUUUCAGCUCUAAGCACUCGCAAAGAGCUAUUCGGGACCAGAUCCAAAGAGUUGUUGUGAAUCUCGAGGAGGUUCUACAUGGCCUGAAAGAGAUACGUCUGGAAAUAAAGGAGGUGGUCCAGAAGAUAGACCUGUUGACGGCUGACAUUGAUAUGGGCAAUGAAGAACCAGGGGACACUUUCAAAGGAUGCCACUCAGGAAGGAUAGACACUGAAGUGGCAUCAUCUCAAGGAGUCUGCUCUGACAAGUCAUCCCUCAAAACACCAACUUCAUCUGUGGCCCCACCAGCAUAUCCCAUAAAAGAUCAAGGGCUGCAUGAUGCAGACCAAAAACGGGAAUCAACUCAGGAGUUGGUCAUUUCUCAAAGAGAUACAUCAGGGACUGCUUCAAGACACCAUAGCCAGAAGCCUCCUCCUUACCCCUACGCCAGCACAACAGGAAGAGUGAAUCCUAAAGCAAAAGACAAAGGUCAGAAGACGCCACCCUACCCCUUUAGACGGAAACUGCUCUCGACCAUUGUUUGAGCAGACCGUGGCUUCAGGGUACAAUGUGGAGCAUUACACUCUACAUGGUGUACCGUGUUACAGGCACCUUUACGGUAAGUUUGGUCUUUAUGGGACCCGAUAACUCAAGAGUGCAGCAGCA